RNAcentral lists this long non-coding RNA (1128 nucleotides) under Marmota monax (woodchuck). The record is from RNAcentral. Lineage: Eukaryota; Metazoa; Chordata; Mammalia; Rodentia; Sciuridae.
CCUGGGUUCAAUCUCCAAUACAAAAUAAUACUAAUAAUAAUAAUAAUAAUAAUAAUAAUACAAUGAGGACUACUUCCAGCUAAGAGCUUUUGAGAUAUUUAUUAAUAGGGAAUCACUAGACCGACUCUCACAGCUGGAACUCAGCAGGACUACUUAUGAAGAGUAUUCCAACCCCAAGAAACACUUCACUGGAGCAUUUGGCUAAUGGAAUCAGGGAUAAAUAAAACAAAGGGCACUUGCUAUCACAAGUUCUACGUCAGCCUCUGCAACUUAGGGAGAUCCUGUCUCAAAAUAAAAAAUAAAGGCUAGUGAGUUAGCUCAAUGGUAGGAUGCCCCUGGGUUCAGUCCCCAGUACCAAAAAGUUUUUUAAAUCACAGCAAAUGCCGGGUACUAUGUGGACCACUAUGUGGACUAUUGUAUGGAACCUAAGUUUCCUCAGGCCUCACCUGAUGACAUAUAACCCAUAUUUUGUUAGCUCUUCCCCCAUCUUCUAACCUAGGUCUCUGACCUCUUGCAAAACUUCAGCCAGUUAUUUCUGGGUAUGUCUGAGAAGAGGUAAGGUUUGUUAUCUCCACCCCAGUGGUCUAUGCCAGGUUAGUGGUUGGACCCCAGGCACUGACUCUGAUGCUGGGAAAUCUGAGGCUCCAUAGUCCUCAAGAACCUGAAGCUCUUCAGUGUCAGGCACCACUUAGACAUAACACACUCACAGGGUGGCCAACUCUGUCUCCAUUUUAAUGUUGAAAGUCCUGCAUUCAGGAAACCCCUCAGUCCUAGGCAAACCAGGAUGGCUGCCCAUCCUACACCUUCUUCACAGCCUUCCUCCCCUGUAGUCCUAUGUGGAAGUCCCACAGUGUCUCCUAGGCUCUGCAGGUCUAGAUCUUGUAGAAUUUAUAUCUGGGCAAGUAGCCCUUCCAGUUCUGUCCACAGACUUCCUCUUGGGGACUCAGACUCACACCCACACCAUGGCAGGACACAGAGAUACCAGAGCUGGGCUGGCUUCCCCAUUCUCCUGCCUCAUACAAGAUACAUGCUUCUUCUCACUCUUUCUGCCAUCCCCCCAUAGCACAGGCUGCAUAGAAACCUCUGUGUCUAAAUCUCCCCAAAGCCCUGCAAGCUUGACAUUAUUGU